Molecule: ribosomal RNA, 291 nt
Filed under: uncultured Pseudomonas sp.
Lineage: Bacteria; Pseudomonadati; Pseudomonadota; Gammaproteobacteria; Pseudomonadales; Pseudomonadaceae
Description: partial 16S ribosomal RNA
Rfam family: Bacterial small subunit ribosomal RNA
Source: RNAcentral
UAACGAGCGCAACCCUUGUCUUAGUUACCAGCACGUUAAGGUGGGCACUCUAAGGAGACUGCCGGUGACAAACCGGAGGAAGUGGGGAUGACGUCAAGUCAUCAUGGCCCUUACGGCCUGGGCUACACACGUGCUACAAUGGUCGGUACAAAGGGUUGCCAAGCCGCGAGGUGGAGCUAAUCCCAUAAAACCGAUCGUAGUCCGGAUCGCAGUCUGCAACUCGACUGCGUGAAGUCGGAAUCGCUAGUAAUCGUGAAUCAGAAUGUCACGGUGAAUACGUUCCCGGGCCUU